Gallus gallus (chicken) is the source of this 15822-nucleotide RNA transcript. It is a transcript of the gene named xylulokinase, with no coding region annotated. The record is from RefSeq and is a predicted model, not a curated record. Lineage: Eukaryota; Metazoa; Chordata; Aves; Galliformes; Phasianidae. The transcript is spliced from 24 exons.
GCUGCGGUGCGCGGGGCCUCACCCACCAUCAGCCCCUCAGAGCUCCGUUCCGGGGGAAGGCCGGGUGUGAGGCCGCCCCUUCCCUUCCCCGCCUGGCCCGGCGGGGCUCGACAUGGCUGCCCCCUCAUUCUUGGGAUGGGAUUUCAGCACGCAGCAGCUGAAAGUCAUUGCUAUUGAUGAACAUCUGAGAGUCAUUUAUGAGGAUAAUGUUAAUUUUGAUAAAGACCUUCCAGAAUUUAAGACUCAAGGUGGAGCCCAUGUUCACGGUGACCGACUGACAGUCACUUCUCCUGUGCUAAUGUGGGUCAAGGCUCUGGAUAUGAUUUUGGAAAAGAUGAAGUCUUCGGGAUUUAACUUCUCUCAAGUCAGAGCUUUGUCUGGUGCUGGCCAGCAACAUGGAAGUGUAUAUUGGAAGAAAGGAAGCAUUCAAAUCUUAAAAAAUGCAUCGCCCAAACUGCCUUUACAUCAGGCACUGAAGGCUUGUUUUGCUAUCAGUGACAGCCCCAUCUGGAUGGAUUCUAGCACAGCUUCGCAGUGCAGCGCUCUGGAGAACGCUGUGGGAGGAGCACAGCGCUUAGCAAAUAUCACUGGUUCUCGAGCUUAUGAGCGUUUUACAGGAAACCAGAUAGCAAAGAUUUACAACCAGAAUCCUGAGGUCUACGCGCAAACUGAGAGGAUCUCUUUAGUUAGCAGCUUUGCGGCUUCCCUUUUCCUAGGAGCUUAUGCACCCAUUGAUUACAGUGAUGGUUCUGGAAUGAAUCUGCUGCAAAUUUGGGACAAGUCUUGGUCGGCAUCCUGCCUUGAUGCUUGUGCACCAGAAUUAGUGGAGAAACUGGGAAACCCUGUGCCAUCCCAUUCAGUUCUGGGAUCCAUUUCUCCAUAUUAUAUUCAGCGUUAUGGGUUUAGCCCAGACUGUAAAAUAGUAGCCUUUACAGGAGACAAUCCAGCAUCCUUGGCAGGGAUGAGGCUUGAAGAAGGAGAUAUUGCAAUUAGCCUUGGCACAAGUGACACAUUGUUUCUGUGGAUCAGGGAGCCAACUCCAGCCUUAGAAGGUCACAUCCUCUGCAAUCCUGUUGAUUCUCAAACAUACAUGGCACUUUUAUGUUUUAAGAACGGCUCUCUGAUGAGAGAGAGGAUCCGAAAUGAGUGUGCUUCAGGCUCCUGGGAUGAAUUCUCCAAAGCCUUAUCAUCUACUGUUGCUGGAAACAAUGGGAACUUAGGUUUCUACUUUGACGUGAUGGAAAUCACUCCUGAAGCAGUUGGGGUUCACAGAUUCAACAGUGACAACCAAAAGGUUUUGAACUUUCCAAAGGAGGUGGAAAUACGAGCCUUGAUUGAGGGGCAGUUCAUGGCCAAGAGGAUUCAUGCUGAAAAGCUGGGGUAUAAAGUCAUGCCACAAACAAGGAUUUUGGCUACAGGUGGAGCAUCCCAUAAUAAAAAAAUAUUACAGGUCCUGUCUGAUGUGUUCAAUGCUCCAGUGUACACUAUUGAUACUGCCAACUCUGCUUGUUUAGGAAGUGCUUACAGAGCAAUUCAUGGACUCGUAGCUGAGACAAAUGUGCCCUUGGCUGAUGUUGUGAAAUUAGCACCAGAGCCCAGAUUGGCUGUUACACCAACUGCUGGGGCUGAGGAGAUGCUGCUAUCAACUCUGCUUUUAUUGAGUACACUGUGUCUUAGUACUCUGCAAUGUAUCCAUCUGGUUAUCCUCUCUCACUCAGCAUCUGAUCAAUCAGAAGUCCUUGGUUACCUUCAGUGUGGGAUUCAUCCGACGAGUGUAGACUUCUGUCUCCUAUGAUAUGAAGAAAGGAACACAAGGAAAAGGAGUUCUUGGCUGCCAUUCAUCUUAUCGUAUGGCAGUUGUCUACAUCAGAGCAGGUGAGUUAUCUCCUGAGUGAGCUCUUUCUCCCUGCUGAGUAGGAGGGCUGUUGUAUGGAGAGAACACAAACAGUCAAUUUUUCACAUUGUGCCAAACUCUUGAAGACUUCAUUGAAAACUGAUUUCAACUUUGGAGGCAAGAGUUGUCCCCGGUGGCCACUGUACAACUAGAAUUUUUUCUUGUUCUAGCACUGCUCUGUUUUUCUGUCAAAUCCAUGUGAUUGACCUCUCCAGCCCCCUUCAGAUGGGACUCUUCAUGCACCUCCGUGGAGAUAUCCAGCAGACGUGGGUCAGGAGCUUUGUUAUAUUUCUGCUUUUUGUCCUUUUGUUGCAUGCCCUUGCUUGUGUUUAUUCCUGCAGGCUGGACUCUUUCAGGCAUUUGUAUUAUGCCUCUAAGCUCAUUUCUCUGCUAUAGUGAAAGGCAGCUCCCUUAAGACUUUGGCAAGCAUUGCACAAGAAAACAAAGGCCUGUUCAACUUGCUGCUGGGAGACAAUAUUUACUCUCUGACUGACAUGUGUGCACUUCCCUCAUGAAACUUCAGCUGUGUUGCAGUACUGGUGUACUGGAAGAUGGAAUUCUCCUUGAAAAUAAUCUAAAUCAUGUUGUAUAAAAGUAGGGCUUAGAGAAACAGGGCAGAAACAGAGCUAUUUCUUAGUUGAGGGCUUUCAUCUUAAUAUAAAACACAUUAGAGCAAACAGGUAAGAGGUAAAGGAUUCUUACACGCUUUGGUGUCACAGCUUAUGCCACCUGAGAACAUCUCUUCACACUUCUGCCAUAGCUUGUUAGGAUGGGACAUUCUCCUGUCACUCCUGGUGUUAUUUUGUUAGAUUCCUACCCCAGAUGACCCAACUUGAGUUGCUUACAGCGGAAAUACCCUUUUGGUCAAGAAAGAUAAUGUUAAAAGGCAAUCACACAUUUGCCCCACUUUUAGUUUCUCAGCAGAAUUAUUGUGGUACCUGCUGUUGUUCUUAGAAGAAAUCCCUACUCCAGCAGAGGGAAAAAGAAGACUUUGAAUGUAGCUUACCCAGCAUGCGAUUUAGUCAUCGCAGAAUCAUUUGAGUUGGAAGGGACAUUUAAAGAUCAUCUAUCCAGCUCUUCUGCAAUGUACAGGGACAUCUACAGCUCGAUCAGACAGUUCACGUGAGUGAAUAAGCAAAUAAACUGCAUUUCAGUAUUUUCCUUAGAUUACUUUUUUUCCCUCUCAGUAACUCUUGGCUCAGGAGAUACAUCCCUGGUGUUUUAUUUGAUUCCUUCUCACCAUAUUUGCAGCAUGGCAGACUCUCCGCAAGGUCUUUCCACAAAGGCUCGUUUUGCUAUUAGCCCAGUGAACGUAGGUUUUCCACUUUGAUCUGUACUGUGUGUGGUUUUGGCAUGAUUCUUAAAUGGACUGAUUAAACAACUGCUGCUAACAGCUUCCCCUGCCUUCAGCAGUCAGCUCCCAUUAUUCAGGGGCUUUCCAUAGCAAAAGGGAAGAGACAGCACUGGUACAAAAUGCUUACAUUAAAGGUCAGAAGAAAUGUCAGAAAACUCUUUCCCUUCCCUCUUGGUCCAGAAACAUUGCAGUAACUCAGUCACUAGAUAGGCAAUGUUGGAUUGUUCAUAGUGUGAGUGUUUUGAGCAAAAGGGAUGGAUGCCUGUAUGCUGAUGCUUAGCCAGAUUGUCUAGAUGAGAAAUCACUGAGCUGAGACUUGCUUGGUAAUUUACAUCUAGUUCUGUGUUUUAUAUAUCAAAGUCUGUGUUUUGCAGUUUACACUCUGAAUCUUUAAAUGAAGAAAUAAAUUAAAUUUCUCAGAUGAGUGAGAAUGGUGCAUUUAGAGGGAGAGGGAGAACACGCUGAGACUUGGGAGCUGCUCAGGGAGGAGACCCAAUAUUCAAGCUCCCCUUUUCUGGCGUGAAGCAUCUUGCUUUUCUUUCUAAAGUGUUCCAGGUCCACAGGAAAUAUGGAAACUGCUCCCUUCCUGAGCCUCCUUCAGCCUACUGAAGAUGGAUUGGGCAUUUGGUCAAGCCCAUCAGGUAACUGUGGCUGCUUAGUUCAACAUGGGGCAGUCUGAUGAGACUGAGACUGUAAGUGUGUCACAGCCAUAACAUGGUCAGUGUUGUCUUUGAUCUUCCCUUUGUGCCUUUCCAGUUGAGACAGGAACAUUGCUUUCUGUGAGGCUCUGGUGAGCCCCUUUAGGUAGGAUGUUAGCAAAUGUCCUCUCUUGUUGUCAAGACAGAAUUUAAACUGGUACAGAUGAGGAAACAAGGCUGAUACGUCAGUGAGGGGAAUAGAAAUGCUGUCCUAGAAGAGGAGACUAAAAGCUUGGCUUUGUUUGCCUAGCAAGUGGAAGCUGGGAAGUGAUACCAUUGCUCAGUAUAAAUCCUUCAGGCUGGGGGUAAAGAGCAGGAGAAGAGCUGCUCAAGCCAAAGGACAAAGUUGGCACGCAAGCAAAUGACACGCACUGAAUGGGAGUAAAUUUAAACAGGAAAUUAGGAGUGAGGUGGAGGUGCUGAAGGACCUCCUGUCCCCUGCGUGCGGUGCCAGGAACAUCGAGCCACGUACUUGCAGCAUGACGUGUGGCAGGGCUGCAGCACCAUGUCAGAAAUCCUCUGCUCACAGAGAAAGCUGCAUUGAGUACUGACCUUGAGAGAAACUGUUGUUUGCCACGUGGCCAGAGCAGAGUUUCACACUUGACCUCUUUUGAAUUUCCUUCUUAAUUGUGUUUGAUUUGUAGGAAGCAACGAGUAGGGAAGGGACAAAUAAAUUGAAAAGUUCCAGCUCUACUUCUUAACACUGGGACACGUAAUAGCUCGAUUUGCUAUCAGUUUGCUGGGCUAGUCCUCUACAAGCAAGAGGAAUUUGCCCCCCGGCAAUUUUUCUUCACUAGAACCCUGCAAAAGGAAGUGAGGUUUAAUUAGCAUUUUAAAGUGGACAGCCUUGAAGUUAAUGAUAUUCAAUAAAGAAAAAUUGUUUUAACCUUAUUUGCACUUUUCAAUUUACUUAUUAGAGGCCAUCUGUUAUAUUUUAAGCAAGAGCACUGGGAGCUAAACUCUCAGAUUGUCAAACGAGGCUAAGCAGAAGGGAAAGAACAGGCUGCCUUAAAUGAGCAAUUAGACUGCUUUUCUUAAAUUUCUCAUUUUUGUGUCAAAAAGCAAACGGUCACCAUUUCAAGCAGCAGUAAAGUUGCUCUAAUGACACCCAUUUUUACAGGUGCUCAUCAGCCCUGGGAAAUGUCACUUGUCCUCAGCUCUCAGAUGAGGCCCAGGAAGGAUGAAAUUAGAAAAGUCAGAAGUGAGGUGGAACUGCUGUGGGAGUGAAGGCUAAGAAUAAGGAUUGCUAUAGUGUCGGGAGCUGAGUGACAGAUGCACACUGAUGGAGCACAGUGCAUUGAUUUUUGCUGCUGCAGUACUUUAUGCUCAAAGAAAUACAGCUUUUAAAGCGAUGGAGGACCCCUAUUCAGAGAAAACAGUUGAUCCUACAGACCGGAGUUAAUGUUUGUGCUCUCUGGACCCAAAGCAUGCAACAGCAAAUUCCCCAUUGUCCAUGGAUCUGCCCACGGACACUACUGUUACCAUCCUGGCAGGGUCUAGGGCAACUUUUCUGAAGGAACUGAGGCUCCUCAGCAAUGCUGCUUUUCCAAUGGCAGCCACUCUAAGAAAUUCCUGUUUCCACCUUCCUCAAGCCAUGGCUUUCUGCUCCUGGAUGUCAGCUCCGUUCUUUGAGCUGGGCACUCCUGAACCUGUUGUACUUCAGAAGUUGUAUUUUCCCUGGAGAAGCAGCAGAAACCCAGCCACCAUGUGUUCCUUGUGCUACACCAUGCUAGAGGGAUACAACAACUCAGUGACUGGUGCCAAAUGAUUGUUCCAUGUAUCCGUGCAUCAGUGAUUUGGGGGGUUUGCAGUGCUGGCUGAAAUACGCAGGCCAGCUGCCUGCCGGUGGCAGCAGGAAAACAGGCAGACAAAGCAGAUGGACCCAGCAGGGGUGGAGGAGCGCUGUCUUCAGCGGGCCAUAGGCAUCACUGAAGAGUAAACAGCUCUCGGAAGGGAGCCGGGAGCUAACCCCAAACCCGUCCUCUCCAAAGUACUCAAUCACAGCACAUUAACAAGAGCGCCUGGACUGCUGGGGGAGAGUAAACAAUGAGAGGCCGUGCUGGCGGGAGAGUGGGAAAAGCGCAGCCCCCCUCCAGCUCAGAUUUAUUGUAAGAGGGUGUAAAAAGCAACUCGUGGCUCAGUGUGCUGUCAGCGAGCCGCACUCGUUGUCAAUGCUCAUCUCCUUGUGGGAAAGCCACCCUUUGCCUUCGCGGGUAGAGUGGGCGCCUGCAUGCUGCUGGACACGCAGGGAUGCUCAGAGAGGCCGGGAGGCAGCAGCAGAGGUGAGAGGUGAAACCUUCCCUCCCGCAGGCAAAUAUGCUUCAAUGCUUGUCCUGAACCAGGCAGGGAUAGCACCAGGGCUACGGCUCCUUCAAACCACAGCCACCCAAGUGAGCUGCCCAUUUGGACGAGGGAAGCAUGUCUGAGGACCCAGCGCUAUUGUUCAGAGCAGGAGGGGGUGAUCUCCUCCUGCCCACACCAGCGUGACUUCCUUGGUUUGAGAGCGGCUCCUGAUUUAUGCCCAGGGGCUGGAGCCCGCUCGCCGGGCGCUGCUCUUUCAUCUACAGCAUUGCAGUGAAAUUUGUUUACAGAGCUCUUGGCGCGAUCACAGAUUCUUUCUCCCCUUCCCCCUUUCCUCCGAAUCAGCCACAGUUUUCCCUCUCCUUUGGCUCCCGCUGCAAAACCGAUUGACCUUUCUGGGCUGUGUCUGACACAUGAACCGUGCAAAAUCCUUUCUUCUCCCUGAGCCCCGUGCUUGCUUGGGAACGUGGCCGCCUGGAGCAGUGCAAGCGGGAGCCCUCCAGCAGCCCUUUGCUGCAUUUCUGAGAGCUGCUUCGCUUGUAAUGCUGCGCAUCCUUGAGAGUGGGUGACUGUGUGUGCUGUGGCUGAGCUCCCCAGUGCUCUUUGCAAACAGCGAUGAUAGGAUGAGCUGGAAUGGCCUCAAGUUGUACCAAGGGAUGUUCAGACUGGAUAUUAGGAAAAACUUUGUUCCAAAAGAGCGGUGAUGCAGUGGCACAGGCUGCUCAGGGAGGUGGUGGGGUCAUUGUCCCUGGAGGUGUUCAAGAACUGUGGAGAUAUGGCAGUGAGGGAUGUGAUUGGCGGGCAUGGUGGGAUGGGUUGAUGGUUGGACUGAAUGACCUCAAAGGUCUUUUCCAACCUUAAUGAUUCUGUGAUUUCUAUGAUUCUGUGCCAUUGUCGUGUACCAGCACAACUGAAUUUCAAGUCAGAGACAUAACAAGAGCCAAAAAGAAGUGCCGAAGUGGCCAAGAAUACACUAAAUAACAAAGGCUGCUCCAGCUCAGUUGCAAGACAAGAAGGUCCCAUUUGCACUAAAAGGCAUCAAAUUGCCCCAGAAAAGAAAACCAUACAAACUGAGCCUUCUCUGAAACUCAAGGCACAAAGGUCCUAUGGGGAACCCAACCCUGUCUGGGUGGUGCUCGGCAAGGGGAGCUCUCCUGGGCCGGGCCAUCCCACACAUGACCCAUUCCCACACUCGUGAAUGUCAGCAGAAGAUUUUCAUGAGACUCAGGGAGAGCAGUGAUGUAACUGAACAAUGGGAUCUCCCCCCUUUUUCUGGAAAAAAAUGAGUCUUCAAAUUGAGUAAAAUAUAGAAGUGUUUUCUUCACUUAGACCUCCUACAAGUGAAUUCCUCUGGUGCUGGUGAUGGGCUCCUAUUCUCCCUGGGAAAUACAUCAAUUUGAUUUUCUCCCUCAAAGGAUUAGUCACUGAAAGACAACACCACCCUCUUCCCCCUGGCUUUUCAGUUGCCUCCAGGUGCUUGGGGAAUACCAGUGAAAGGAGCCUCUCCCUGCUUCUUUUCCUACAUUCUCCUUUUAUUUCUCAUGAUUGCUCCCUCUCUGAUCUUUUUCUUUUUUUUUUUUCCUCAAAAGAACACCUUCCUUCCCACCAACAGCACUGCCUGCAGUGGCUCAGCAUGUCCCAGCAUCCAUACUGGCAGUCAUCCCUCCAUUCCCAUCUGAUUCCUCUAUCUGUUGAAUCAAAUUGCUGAUAGCAGCAACAGAGCCCAAGCAUGCAGACCACGCUGCAGGGCAGAUGCAGAACUGCACGCUUGCUGUAAGUGUAGAAUAAUUUGACAUCUACAGCAGAGAGUGGCAGAGCCCCUGACACUGUUUCUAUGGGACUGCUGGUGAUAGGCAGAUCUCCUCAUGGUGUGAUGCAUAUUCAGCAGCCCUCUGUCUCCCCUGGACAUUGAAACAAUUCACUCAGGUGGCUGACAAGAAACACGGUGGGCUCCAAACGUGCCCUGAUGGUCUCACAUGGUGCCCCUCCAUCUCCCCUAGGGCUUAACCCCUAUGACAACAGCUUUUCUCCCAUGACCAAAUACGUGCUCCUGAAUUUGGGGAGGAUGCAUGUGUUUAUCAGAGUUGUGUGAAAUGCUCUACUUCUUCCUUGCAGGAGGACAGAAGAGGAAAUGGUUCAUUUUGAAGAUGUGCCAUGAUAGGCAAUUCGAGCUUGCUUAUCUUUUCACACAUGCCAGCUUGGAUAACCUGGGUGGAAAACUGAAGUGAAGCAAAGACCUCAGCCUCUCACAGCUCUGGCAGCAGUCACCAGUGCCCUGCUGGAGCUGAGCUCUUGGGGAACACCUUGACCCCAGACUAAGGACUGGAGGUGACUGCUACACUGCUGUUUUAGGGAUCUUGAGAACUGUAAGUGCUCUAUUUCCUAGAGCAAACAAAAAAUGCUGCUCCUGUCUGCCCUUCAGAGGCACCCAGGAGGCAUCCAAGUCAGCCCCUAGUUUUGGGAAUGAGUUUGCCCUGUUCCCUGGGAUAUGAUGGUCUGCCACUCAGGAGGAGUUCACAGAGCACGCCAUAUUCCUGACUGCCCAGUAGUAUUCUAUCAGCUCAAUAUAGGCCUGAUGUUGUAUUAAGGAGAAAAGCUUUCCGGCCAGCAGUAGUGAUGCGUGAAGUUUCCUCAUUGACGGACCACAGAAUGCUUUGGGGCUGUUGGAAGAUGGGUUUUGUAUGCAGCACAUUUUGCAUCUCGGUGUUGUUCUCCAGAGCUGUUUGCUAGCAAAUUGCCAGGAUUUGAAAUUCAGGUAGGUUGCAGGAUGAAAAAAUAUCCUUCCCCACAUUGCUAUGACCUUUUUGGUGGUUUAUUUGUUAAAGGCAUUACUGUUCCCCUCGGGAAUGGUGCCUUCCUCUGUUUUAUGCUCUAAGGAUGUGGCUCUUUUCAUGUUUAUCUUUGAUUCAAGCAUUGUAAAGAGCAAUCCCUCGCACUUAUGUGCUUCAUUGUAUUCUGGCCAUGAGAGAUUCUCCCCCACUGUUUGUAGCCUUUUUUCAGUGCAGCUAGUAAAAUAUUUGAACAGAAAAAAGAAAAGAAAAAAAAAAAAAAGAAAAAAGGAAAGAAAAAAAAGAAAGAAAGAAAAGAAAAAGAGACACUAAACAGCUUCCAGCAUUUAGAGGAUAAAAUGAGAUGUAAGGAAAAGGAUGACUGUGGUUAAUGCACAGGGCUGGGAGGCCUCAGAUGGACCACGGCCUCUCUUCGUUUCUCUUCUCACAUCCUCUGUGACUUUGUCUAAGUUAUUUGACCUCCUCCUGCUGUAGCUCUGGGGUGUUAAACACACGCUGUGUUUUCUGCUUGGAAAACCCAAGCUUGCUGUCCCCAGAGAGCUCAGCGCUGCCCCUCUGCUCCCUAUGAGGAGCUGUAUGGCCAUGAGCCCUCAGCAUCCUCUGCUCUGCUCCCAGCAAACCCAGGGCCCUCAGCUGCCCCUCACACCCCUUGUCCUCCCAUGUGAAUGCCUGUCAGCAUGUGAUACAGCCUGGUUUUCUUCCCUGAUUUCAGAUGACACAUGGAAGCUGAUUUGCACAGGGUGGAUGCAAACCAAGGGCUCAUCCACUGAAAAAUAAUUAAGCUUCACUUGGUUACAGCAGGCAAGCUGGAAUACAAAGAUCCUAAGGCUGGUUAUGGGAGGGUGGUUAAGGGGACACCUCCAGUGGGCAAGGGUCUGUUGUAGUCCAGAUAAGCCCUCACAAUUCAGAGUUUUCUUAAAUUUCUGGGGCAUAAUGGCACAGCUGGCGACAGAGCACCAAGUGAAUAUUUGACAUAAAUAAACCAGUGUUCCUACGUGGGAGAAGGGCAGAGGGAGCCUGUGAAUUAAUGAUCAGCUUUUAAUUUGUCCUUUCAUUGGAAUCAAUGAAAAUGUCAGGAUGAUUGAGGUUUAUGUGCUCAUGGGAAAGAUGUGAGCCCAAGAGAAAGAGAUCAAGGCUAUUUUUUAAUAUAUUUGUUUCACUGAGGAAGAUGCUUCCCUUCAUCUCUAAUACCGGAGAAGGAUUUGCUGUGGGUGAAUUCCUGAGAAAGCCUGGGCAGUGUGUAUUGGAACGGGCUGCCCAGGGAGAUGGUGGAGUCACCGUCCCUGGAGGUGCUCAAGAACUGUGGAGACGUAGCACAGGAAGGGAUGUGGUCAAUGGGCAUGGUGGGAUGGGUUGACAGUUGGACUAGAAGACCUUAAAGGUCUUUUCCAACCUUUACAAUUCUAUAAUUCUGUAAUUCAUUCAAGUCUCAGCAGAGACCUGCCACCCUCAAGCUGUGGGCUGCUGGUUGUCCUUGGGCACAGGGUUCAGCCUACCUGGUGCUGGUUUUUCUGGCUGCAGGCAUAUCCUGCUUGCUCACCCCAGUGCCAGAUCUGCUGUGGAAGGCACAGGGCUGGGUGCAGUUCAGGAUGGCAGCAGCAAAAUGAGAGCCUCAAGAUCCUGGUUUGAAAAGGGUGGAUUCUGCUGAUGGAUGUGAAAAGCUGGCACUAAUGUCCUGGAGGCAGAACCACCUUUGGAUCAUGACUGCUGGAAAUACUGAUGUUUGAUCACCUGAAACGGGCACCUCCAUCCUUUUCUUCUGCCAAAACAGGGGAUUCUGCAUCCCUGCAAUGUUCAGCCAUACAAACCUCCUGUUCUAGCCACUCAUUUCUUGUCACAAUGCUAUUAGUAAAGUAGUCAAGUGAGUGGGCAAGGGUUUAGCUUCCUAUAGGAGGAAGGGGGAGCCUGCAGGGUAAACAGUGGCCUGGAGUGGUGGAUUCAUUUGCACGUUGCCUCUGUCUUGAUGGAGGCUUCAUGCAGCCCCUUGGCACUGAGAACGUGUCUGCAAACUGCCAGGCACGCUUUGGCCUAAUUAAAUAUUCAUGGUGACAAAAUGCCACAAACACAGGGGAGUUUUCAGCGAAUGCUUCACCGCAGUUAGCAGACACCCUGCUCACUCCUGCAGGGCUCUUGUGACGCGUUCCCACCCUCCCUCCACACUCACCUGCUCACCUUGCUCUGCACCAAAACCAGGGCAAGGAUGAGCCGGGCUUUUGCAUCUCACAUCUGCUUUGUCUCAGGGCAUCGGUCCCCCAGAUACGUUUAUUUUGUCUUUGAGGGACCUGAUACUGCAGCCAUUGCUCUGCUCUGUGGGUUCUGGAGAUGAGUUGAGGUCUUCUGCAGGUGGAUCACAGCCAGAAUGUGACCCGCAGCUCCUUUCUUCUGCACGUUGGCUCAGGCUGGCUUUUUGUUACAGAAAUGUUGUCAUUCCUGACACUUCCAGACAUGAGCAACGCAACCCCGUUCCUGCCAGCAAACACAGCCCUCAACGAGAGCUUCUGUGAUAACAUCAGCUCCGCUGCUGCUGCUUUGUUUUAGCCUUCUCAGGAACUGACCUCAUAGUUUCCUAAUUUAGAGCUGGUGACACAGAGCACGGGGAACGUGCGUGCUCAACACCUGUGGUGACGAUGCCAGCAGGACACCUUCUGGCAACCUGCCCUGAGCCAAAGCCGUGUGCCAGUGGCUGAUGAGCUUCUCUAGUGGCCCCAGCAGGCAUGGGUUUAACCCAAAUAAGGAUCAACUAUCACACCAACCUGGCAAUAGAAGGGCAGAAGUGAGAGUCGAGGUCCUGGUUGCCAGCUACAUUUCUCAUUUAAGAACAUUUCUCUUUUGAAAUGAUAUGCUUUACUUGCAGAAGGGAGAAAGAUGGAUUUCCAGCUGAUCCCUCAAGUCAGCCUAAUAACCAUCCUACGACCUCUCUGCUCCUCUCUGCUUUAGGGCACAUGCUAAAAGCCUUACUGCUCCACAGUAGUUUACUCAGAGUGAAAGUGUCCCACAAAAUCCUUAUUUUGUCUUCUUUGUCUCCCCACAUCCCUCCCAGCCAUGGGAUUUACAUCCUCUCUGAGCUGCUUGGUCUUUUUAGCUCCUUGUUGUUACUACUCUUGCUGCUCUUGUUAUUGACAUGUCCACCCAGCGUUAAACUUUUAACUUGUAGAGCUGUACCUGGGCAGUGAACGGUGUGCAUGAAUCAUAGAAUGGCUUGGAUUGGAGGUGACCACAAAGACCACCCAUUUCCAACCCCCUGCCAUGGGCAGGGUUGCCAGCCACUAGAAAGCGCUUUAUGUAAAACCCAAGGCAACAGAAAUACUCCAGGGAGCUGAUUUUUAGUGGCUUUAACUUUCCAGCUGGUUAUUUAGCCAUCUUCACCAGAAAGUUGUCUCAGUGAAAUGAGAACUCGCCCACAUUCAGGAUAAACUCACGGUUCUUUCACUUUAGUUUUUUUGGUUUCGGAAAAUGUCGCGCUGUCUGUGGUGGUGGAUGUGUGUGUGUGUUUUAUUUUCCGUGUGUGCCAUCCCUGCAUAUGUCUUGGAUUGCUUCAGAAGCUGUAAUAGCAAAACAAGCUUUUUCUUUAUUCAAAAAUAGAAAUGGAAUGAUCAAACAGCUCAGACUAGGGCUAUGCGUAAUGCUUUAUUUUUUAACCAAUUAUUUAGUAGUUAUCAAUAACAAUAACUAUUAUUACCACGACUCUCUAUGCUCUGGCUUUCCCCAUCACUCCUUAGAGUAUUUGCAAAAUACUGUGAAAGCCCAUUCCUGUUUGUUUUCCGCCCAAUGAGGAUGUUGUGAAUUCUGCUGCAAUCUGCCUGGAGGUUUUGGGAAGCCAAAGACAGCAGUUUGUGCAGUGCACUGGAAGACCACAACCCCGCACAGCUCUGGUAUGGGGGAUGCUGCAGUAAGGCACAGAGUUUGCUCUUACACUGCCUCAGUGGAGAUGUGCAUUUUGUUCAUGCUCAAUUACUGGGUCCUUUAGGUGAAUAUCACAGGGAUGCUUUGAAUUUUGAGCGAGGAGUGCUGGCACUUGCAAAUGUAGCAUAGUGGGAUUGGUUGGCUUGAGCAAGGAGAACCUGAGACCUAAGGAAUAGUAGUUGGUAGCAGACGGCAUCUUCAGUAGAAGUCCUGCAGGAAGGAAGGGAAUCUGCAUAAACCUUUUGUGAAUUUAGGGUAGAAAUCAUUCUAGGCAACUGGUUUUGUUGCAACUGCACUGAUAUUUGAGUUGACAAAGAGGAAAAAACCCCAACUAACUAAAAGUCGUCAGGCUCUGUAUUCUUGGAUGGGGCUUUGUUGAUCUUUCAAGUGGAUUUCCCCCCCUCCCCUUGAAUUUGGCACACUUAGCACAACAGAAGCGAAGAUGAUACGCAUGUUUUAUAACAGUAAUGCACAUAGCAAGUUUAAAGUCAGUUUAUCGAUGUCUCUCCUCCUUUCUCCCUUUUCUGUAUUUUCUGUUGUUCUCCAUAUGAGUUCUGCAGCCUCAGCUGAGAAACUUGAUGUCAUUUUGUUGAGGGAACAGCAAUGACAUUUUCUUUGGACAGAACUGACAUACUUGCAUUUCUGGUGUCCAGGAGAAAAUGACAGCCAGAUAGUUUCUUUCCUGCACAUCACUUCUCAAAUCCUGGCGGUGCCCAUAAGAGCAUUUAUUUAGAAGAAAAUUUACUUUCAGAGGGGAACUGCCACAGCUAAGCCUAAUUACAAGGAGCUGAAUGCAUGCACACUUGGAUGUAAUGGAGACCCCAUGAAAAACAAUAGCUUCUGCUCCCCUAAAGUUGUUGGCUACUGCAGUGGAUGUAUCAUGGGGCACAACAGCUGUGUGCAUUCACAUCUUCAAGCAUCCAAUACAAAAAAGGUUCAUAGUGCCCAGUAUUUCUACAGCAGACAAGGUCAUGCAGUUCACAGCCAGAAAGUUCAGAACUGCAGAGGUGGGGAAGGCAGUCCUAUGCAUAGGUCUUGCUUUAGCAUCUUAAAAGUGAAUGUCGUCCCCAUGAAUACAAUGUCUGUUCAUGAGGCAUAAACCCAAGAGUGGACCACCUUGGCUUGGUGCAUUGGCAACUUCUGGGAUGGCGUCAAAAAGGAUACAGCACUGGUUUUGGUUGUUGGCUGUUGCUUGCUUAGUGUUUUCUACUGAAUUCCAUGAAGCCGAGCUGAGUUACAUCUACCAAAACCAAAUCCAUCUAAUUUUUUCCACUCGCCUCUUAUGUUCGGGCUUGAUGUAUUAUGUCUGGAAGCAAACAGUUAGAAUAAGAUGCAUUUGCUAGAUUGUGUCUUUUCAUUAUCGAGACAGAAGGAAAAGGCAGUUGACAAAGUUUCAGCAGACGGUGCAUAGUUGUUGUUUAUGUUAAACAAAACGAGAAUGUGCAGCAUUCGGGUGUAUAAACAGCAUGACAGCAAUAAGCAUAAAACAUAAGAUUGGAAGCAGAUUUUACUUUCAGGCCUUGGGGAGCAGAUGGAUCUGAGAUCAUUGUGCAUUUGCGUACAACUCCGAGACCUAUAGAAACUCAUUUAUUCCCCAUGUCGAGGCAUUUCACAGGAGUCAAAUGUAGCACGGCUGCAAAUGGAUGCAGCUCCACUGAACAUAAUGGGCUGGACCCAAGCACCUAGAUCUGUCUCUUAAAUUGCUCCAGCAGCACUAAGGGGAUGGAAAGCUGCUUUAGUCUUGCAGUCAGAGAUUGCCUUGUCAUCUUAAUGUUCAGGUGGCAUAAAGAUGAGGCAGCCCCUAUUUGCAUCUGCUCUGUGUGCAGGCUGGAGGCAGCCAAGUGGGAAAGGAGCUGCAGUCAGUGGAGGCUGCUCUUCUGAACUUGCACAGAGGCUGGCUUCCACCCCAUACAUAAGAUAUAUAAAUAUAAAUAUGUACACACAUACAUAUAUAUAUGUAUAUAAAAGAUGCAUUGUAUAUAAAAGAUGCAUAUUGAUAUAUGAAGGCUUAUUAAGAGUGGUGAGGCACUGGCACAGGUUGCUCAAAGAUGUGGUGGAUACUCCAUCCUUGGAGACAUUCAAGGUCAGGCUGGACGGGUUUCUGUGGAGUUGUUGGUGUCCCUGUUCAUGGCAGGGAGGUUGGAAUAGAUGACCUUUGAGGGUUCCUUCCAACUCAAACAAUUCUACAAUUCUGUGAUUCUAAUUUUUCCUCGUUUGCUCUUUUCUUACCCCAUCCCUGAAUUCGCACCACGCUGAGCACAGCUGGCAGUGGAGAGGUGGCUCAUGGAAUGGAGUCACAGCCGUUUGUACCUGUGUGCUUCAGGACUGAUGCUCUAGGACAGAACAGCACUCAAGCCCACUCUCUGUACAAUGGUAGAGACAGAGACAUCAUUUCUCAGUUUCAGAGGGCCAACUGGAUCACUUCAAAGGCUGCCCUGAUUCGACACUUGCAGAGGCAGGAGCGCACAGGUUGCCCAUUGUGUAUGGCCCCGAUUCCCUGGCAGAACUGCGUCAUUGAAGUGAAGGACAUAAUGAGGGAUUUCAGUCCCAAGCAGAGACCAUCCAAGCAGGUGGGAAAGCGAUGGGCCAGCGUCCAACCUUCAGAGCACAGACCAAAGAGAAGCUGUUUUAAAUAGCAACAAUGGCUCUAAUCCCCCGGCAGGAUGGAGAGAUGCAGAUUGGUAAAGGGAAGAAAAGGCAGAAAAUAGCAACUGCAGAAAGUGUGUAUAUGUGAGAAUCCCUUUCAGGAUGCGUUAAUAGGAUGCAGUGAAUAGGAAGAAGAGACCCCAGAGCGUGUUUAAAACAGAUUCCUGGUAUAAUAUGAACCACUGUAAUGAAGUGCUGUACAAAAGAAAUAAUAAAAAACUAUCACUGUAGUCCGUA